This 799-nucleotide ribosomal RNA is filed under the name bacterium enrichment culture clone HY369. Its description in RNAcentral is "bacterial SSU rRNA". It matches the Rfam family "Bacterial small subunit ribosomal RNA", at positions 9 to 803 of the family's 1533-position model. The record is from RNAcentral.
GAGUUUGAUCCUGGCUCAGAUUGAACGCUGGCGGCAGGCCUAACACAUGCAAGUCGAGCGGAUGAGUGGAGCUUGCUCCAUGAUUCAGCGGCGGACGGGUGAGUAAUGCCUAGGAAUCUGCCUGGUAGUGGGGGACAACGUUUCGAAAGGAACGCUAAUACCGCAUACGUCCUACGGGAGAAAGUGGGGGAUCUUCGGACCUCACGCUAUCAGAUGAGCCUAGGUCGGAUUAGCUAGUUGGUGAGGUAAAGGCUCACCAAGGCGACGAUCCGUAACUGGUCUGAGAGGAUGAUCAGUCACACUGGAACUGAGACACGGUCCAGACUCCUACGGGAGGCAGCAGUGGGGAAUAUUGGACAAUGGGCGAAAGCCUGAUCCAGCCAUGCCGCGUGUGUGAAGAAGGUCUUCGGAUUGUAAAGCACUUUAAGUUGGGAGGAAGGGCAGUAAGUUAAUACCUUGCUGUUUUGACGUUACCGACAGAAUAAGCACCGGCUAACUUCGUGCCAGCAGCCGCGGUAAUACGAAGGGUGCAAGCGUUAAUCGGAAUUACUGGGCGUAAAGCGCGCGUAGGUGGUUCGUUAAGUUGGAUGUGAAAGCCCCGGGCUCAACCUGGGAACUGCAUCCAAAACUGGCGAGCUAGAGUAUGGCAGAGGGUGGUGGAAUUUCCUGUGUAGCGGUGAAAUGCGUAGAUAUAGGAAGGAACACCAGUGGCGAAGGCGACCACCUGGGCUAAUACUGACACUGAGGUGCGAAAGCGUGNGGAGCAAACAGGAUUAGACACCCUGGUAGUCCACGCCGU